GAUGAAGAACGCAGCGAAAUGCGAUAAGUAAUGCGAAUUGCAGAAUUUCCGUGAGUCAUCGAGUCUUUGAACGCACAUUGCGCCCCCUGGUAUUCCGGGGGGCAUGCCUGUCCGAGCGUCAUUGCUGCCCUCAAGCACGGCUUGUGUGUUGGGCCCCGUCCUCCGAUCCCGGGGGACGGGCCCGAAAGGCAGCGGCGGCACCGCGUCCGGUCCUCGAGCGUAUGGGGCUUUGUCACCCGCUCUGUAGGCCCGGCCGGCGCUUGCCGAUCAACCCAAAUUUUUUAUCCAGGUUGACCUCGGAUCAGGUAGGGAUACCCGCUGAACUUAAGCAUAUCAAUAAGCGGAGGA
RNAcentral lists this unclassified non-coding RNA (348 nucleotides) under soil metagenome. RNAcentral describes it as "partial contains 5.8S ribosomal RNA, internal transcribed spacer 2, and large subunit ribosomal RNA". The stretch from base 1 to 121 matches the Rfam family "5.8S ribosomal RNA", at positions 35 to 154 of the family's 154-position model. The record is from RNAcentral.